Long non-coding RNA from Mercenaria mercenaria, 1209 nucleotides. RefSeq lists it as uncharacterized. The transcript is spliced from 3 exons. The record is from RefSeq and is a predicted model, not a curated record. Lineage: Eukaryota; Metazoa; Mollusca; Bivalvia; Venerida; Veneridae.
GUUCCAGGGAAUCAAACUGGACUAAAAUGGCCGAUAAAAAUAAGUUGAAAAUUUCAUACUGAGACAUAGACUACCUUUCCAAGGGAUACUGAAAAGAAUCUAUGGAAAUUUUGUUGCACAGAUCAAUUCAUUUGCGAAGAGGAAUACAUGGCAUACUAGUCUAGUACAUCAAUAACGAGGAAGAAAGAAAAUCAGACAACGAAGUAUCACACAGGAUACAUCUAGAUUAAGCCUACAACAUAAACUGCAAGUACCAACGAUGUGUAAAGAGGAAAUGAGAGACGAUGUUUCGUAUCAAUAUCUUUAAUGCUGCAAAAGGAGUUAUACCAACACCACCGUUCGUUGUGGGAAAUACAAAAGGAUCGUGAGAAUAAAAGACAACCGCAAGGGUGAAGCAGUUGUAAUUUACUCUACACUGAACGGCUAAUUUUAACGCAAAUGCAGCGUAACCAUAUGCAACAUAUACUUGCUACAUCAUACGUGUACCAAUUUCACAUACCAGGCAUGUGACAUUGUGCUAUUUAAAGAGUUUACAUUGUUUACAUAAAUGAACUUUGAAACUGAUUUAUGUCGGGUUUUCAGUUACUAUUUCUUUUUAAAGUGAAUCACAACUAAGACAAUUGAAUCACCAAGUUCUAUUUCUCUUCCUUUUAGUCAUCUUUGAACCUUAGAAGAUCUGGAAACGAAGCACAAGAACAUCAUAAUUUAUAUGAAAAAUUGCAUUCAUGUGUGGACAUGUUAUGUCCUUAUUCUUCUUUAUGCACGACAUAUUACGUGUAGAAACGUUAGGUAACAGUAUCUAUGAAGUGAUUGGAACUCACCAUCAUUAUUUAAAGUGAUGCGACAUGAAGAUAUACUCAUUUCGAAAUCAAAUGGAAUUGUACACAUUAAAAAUUGUGAAAUUAUCCGAAUAUGUUUUAGUGAAUAAUUUUAAAUGUGUAAUAUAAAAUAUAAAGGGAUACAUUUGCUUCCUUGAAUUGGAUUACAGUACGGAUAUUUACAGAGGUAGGUUACCUUCUAAACAUUGAAAAUCAUACAGUCAGAUAUUUCUUUCAUUUAAACCAUAUCAGUGAUGGUAUAUUAGAAAACUAGUCUGAUCUAUUGUCAUAUACAAAUAAUUGAUUGUGUGCAUAUCUUUAUAGAAAUUGAGAAAAUAAGCGUUCCACAGCUUUUAACCCGUUUUGAUUCAAUAAAGUUUUGCCAAAAUUU